Molecule: ribosomal RNA, 395 nt
Filed under: uncultured bacterium
Lineage: Bacteria
Description: bacterial SSU rRNA
Rfam family: Bacterial small subunit ribosomal RNA
Source: RNAcentral
ACACGACUACGAGUUUUAUCAUGGCUCAGGAUGAACGCUAGCGGCAGGCUUAAUACCUCAUAGUAUAGCAGUUUCGCAUGAAACCACUAUUAAAGUUCCAACGGUGAAAGAUGAGCAUGCGUCCCAUUAGCUAGAUGGUAAGGUAACGGCUUACCAUGGCUACGAUGGGUAGGGGUCCUGAGAGGGAGAUCCCCCACACUGGUACUGAGACACGGACCAGACUCCUACGGGAGGCAGCAGUGAGGAAUAUUGGACAAUGGGCGCAAGCCUGAUCCAGCCAUGCCGCGUGCAGGAUGACGGUCCUAUGGAUUGUAAACUGCUUUUAUACAGGAAGAAACACUCCGACGUGUCGGAGCUUGACGGUACUGUAAGAAUAAGGAUCGGCUAACUCCGUG